This 125-nucleotide small RNA is filed under the name Marmota monax (woodchuck). The record is from RNAcentral. Lineage: Eukaryota; Metazoa; Chordata; Mammalia; Rodentia; Sciuridae.
GCCAGGUGAUGUGGUGUACACUUGUAGUCUCAGCUACUUGGGAGACUGAGGUAGAAGGAUCACUUGAGCCCAGGAGUUAGUUCAAGGCCAGCCAGCCUCAGCAACAUAGUGAGGCCUUGUCUCCA